Molecule: long non-coding RNA, 747 nt
Organism: Scylla paramamosain (green mud crab)
Lineage: Eukaryota; Metazoa; Arthropoda; Malacostraca; Decapoda; Portunidae
Exons: 2
Source: RefSeq, a predicted model, not a curated record
UUGAGCCCAAAAUGACAAAUGCGGGCACCCCAGGUGUGAUGUGAGAUAAAGUACACGUAAUGAAAUUCUCCAAGCAAAGGUGUAAAAGUUAUCAUAAGUUUUACAGCCAAUACCUGGACAAUCUAUCCAGCACUCUGAAAGAAGAAAGGAAAGGUACAGCCUGGAAGAGCAACAGAAGCAUGUGUAUCUAAUUCACCUCAUGUACUGUGUGUAUAAAUGGUAAAGUAAGUCUGAUGUCUUCAGUAAUUGUGUAAGGUGGGGUAAAGAAUGUCAAAAUAUUAUUUCCAGGUCAUAAAUGGUGAUUAUGGGACAGACUGAGGGAGGGCUCAAAAGUUGUAUUAUGAGUGUUGAUGGUUAGGCUGACAGGUAGAUUAUAUGACUGAUCCCAGAUUUCUACUUUCACCAUAUGAUCAAGUCUGCAACCCCCACCCUGGUGACAGCAGGGAGCCGCUUCAACGAAAUGACCACCAACUUCACUGGUGGAGCGUGUGCGCCGCUGAACACAAGAAACCACGGGACAGACACACAAGGCGUCGGGGAAAGUGAAAGUUGAUGAGAAAGAAGAGAAGUAGAUGUGUAUUGUCUCCCUAAAUAUAAUGGGAUAAGGUUGAACUUCAAAACUAAUGGAGUUGUUUUCCUCAAAAGUAUAAUGAUUGCAGUUUCGACAUAUAGGCAUUUUUGUAUUCAGAUGCAGCAGAAAACUUUAGAGGAUGAAUAACAACUUUACUUUUUACUUAUAAAUGGCAA